CCUACGGGUGGCAGCAGUGAGGAAUAUUGGACAAUGGGCGUAAGCCUGAACCAGCGACGCCGCGUGAGGGAUGAAGGUUCUAUGGAUCGUAAACCUCUUUUAUAAGGGAAUAAAGUGUGGUACGUGUCCUAUUUUGUAUGUACCUUAUCAAUAAGGAUCGGCUAACUCCGUGCCAGCAGCCGCGGUAAUACGGAGGGUCCGAGCGUUAUCCGGAUUUACUGGGUUUAAAGGGAGCGUAGAUGGGUUGUUAAGUCAGUUGUGAAAGUUUGCGGCUCAACCGUAAAAUUGCAAUUGAUACUGGCAGUCUUGAGUGCAGGUGAGGUAGGCGGAAUUCGUGGUGUAGCGGUGAAAUGCGUAGAUAUCACGAAGAACCCCGAUGGCGAAGGCAGCUUACUAAACUGUGACUGACAUUGAUGCUCGAAAGUGUGGGUAUCAAACAGGAUUAGAUACCCUAGUAGUC
Molecule: ribosomal RNA, 460 nt
Filed under: uncultured bacterium
Lineage: Bacteria
Description: partial 16S ribosomal RNA
Rfam family: Bacterial small subunit ribosomal RNA
Source: RNAcentral